Molecule: ribosomal RNA, 253 nt
Filed under: uncultured bacterium
Lineage: Bacteria
Description: partial 16S ribosomal RNA
Rfam family: Bacterial small subunit ribosomal RNA
Source: RNAcentral
GACGGAGGGUGCGAGCGUUGUCCGGAUUUAUUGGGCGUAAAGAGCUCGUAGGCGGCUCGUCGCGUCGACCGUGAAACCCCGCAGCUUAACUGCGGGCCUGCGGUUGAUACGGGCGGGCUAGAGUUCGGUAGGGGAGACUGGAAUUCCUGGUGUAGCGGUGAAAUGCGCAGAUAUCAGGAGGAACACCGGUGGCGAAGGCGGAUCUCUGGGCCGAUCCUGACGCUGAGGAGCGAAAGCGUGGGGAGCGAACAGG